Molecule: transfer RNA, 91 nt
Filed under: Effusibacillus dendaii
Lineage: Bacteria; Bacillati; Bacillota; Bacilli; Caryophanales; Alicyclobacillaceae
Description: Effusibacillus sp. skT53 tRNA-Ser
Rfam family: tRNA
About the family: Transfer RNA (tRNA) molecules are approximately 80 nucleotides in length. Their secondary structure includes four short double-helical elements and three loops (D, anti-codon, and T loops). Further hydrogen bonds mediate the characteristic L-shaped molecular structure. tRNAs have two regions of fundamental functional importance: the anti-codon, which is responsible for specific mRNA codon recognition, and the 3' end, to which the tRNAs corresponding amino acid is attached (by aminoacyl-tRNA synthetases). tRNAs cope with the degeneracy of the genetic code in two manners: having more than one tRNA (with a specific anti-codon) for a particular amino acid; and 'wobble' base-pairing, i.e. permitting non-standard base-pairing at the 3rd anti-codon position.
Source: RNAcentral
GGAGAGGUGUCCGAGGGGUCGAAGGAGCACGAUUGGAAAUCGUGUAGGCGUUAACAGCGUCUCGUGGGUUCGAAUCCCACUCUCUCCGCCA